This 113-nucleotide ribosomal RNA is filed under the name Paramormyrops kingsleyae. Lineage: Eukaryota; Metazoa; Chordata; Actinopteri; Osteoglossiformes; Mormyridae. The record is from RNAcentral.
GUCAGCAGUCAUACCACCUGCACUUCAGGCUAAUCCAUCUGAAGCGAAGUAGGUUUGGGCCUGGCUAGUACUUGGAUGGGAGACCAACUAGGACAGCUGGGUUGAUGCUGAAA